GCACGGGUGCGUAACGCGUAUAGAACCUACCUUUUACAAAGGGAUAGCCUUUAGAAAUGAAGAUUAAUACCUUAUAGUAUUGGAGAUUGGCAUCAAUCACUAAUUAAAGAUUUAUCGGUAAAAGAUGGCUAUGCGUCCUAUUAGCUAGAUGGUAAGGUAACGGCUUACCAUGGCAACGAUAGGUAGGGGUCCUGAGAGGGAGAUCCCCCACACUGGUACUGAGACACGGACCAGACUCCUACGGGGGGCAGCAGUGAGGAAUAUUGGGCAGUGGAGGCAACUCUGACCCAGCCAUGCCGCGUGCAGGAAGAAGGUUCUAUGGAUCGUAAACUGCUUUUAUACAGGAAGAAACAUCUCUACGUGUAGAGACUUGACGGUACUGUAAGAAUAAGCACCGGCUAACUCCGUGCCAGCAGCCGCGGUAAUACGGAGGGUGCAAGCGUUAUCCGGAAUCAUUGGGUUUAAAGGGUCCGCAGGCG
This 479-nucleotide ribosomal RNA is filed under the name uncultured bacterium. RNAcentral describes it as "bacterial SSU rRNA". It matches the Rfam family "Bacterial small subunit ribosomal RNA", at positions 100 to 577 of the family's 1533-position model. The record is from RNAcentral.